CUGACAUGCGUGUGAGUCGACGGGUUCUGAAACCUGGGUUGCGCAAGGAAGCUGACGAGCGCGAGGCCCUCACGGGCCACACCGCUGGCCGACCCUGAUCUUCUGUGAAGGGUUCGAGUGGGAGCAUGCCUGUCGGGACCCGAAAGAUGGUGAACUAUGCCUAAGCGAGGCGAAGCCAGAGGAAACUCUGGUGGAGGCUCGAAGCGAUACUGACGUGCAAAUUGUUAGUCUAACUUGGGUAUAGGGGUGAAACACUAAUCAAACCAUCUAGUAGCUGG
This 278-nucleotide non-coding RNA is filed under the name Triticum aestivum (bread wheat). RNAcentral's name for it is "rRNA LSU_rRNA_eukarya". It matches the Rfam family "Eukaryotic large subunit ribosomal RNA", at positions 675 to 954 of the family's 3401-position model. The record is from Rfam by way of RNAcentral. Lineage: Eukaryota; Viridiplantae; Streptophyta; Magnoliopsida; Poales; Poaceae.